AGAGUUUGAUCCUGGGCUCAGAACGAACGGCUGGCGGGCAGGCUUAACACAUAGCAAGUUGAGCGGGGAUUGAUUGGUAGCUUGCUAUUGAUCAUGAGAGCAGCGCACUGGUGAGUAACACGUGGGAACAUACCUUUUGGUGGGGGACAACAGAGGGAAACUUCUGCUAAUACCGCAUAAGCCCUGAGGGGAAAGAUUUAUUGCCGAAAGAUUGGCCGCGGAAGAUUAGGUAGUUGGUGGGGUAACGGCCUACCAAGCCAACGAUCUAUAGCUGGUCUGAGAGGACGAUCAGCCACAUUGGGACUGAGACACGGCCCAGACUCCUACGGGAGGCAGCAGUGAGGAAUAUUGGGCAAUGGAGGAAACUCUGACCCAGCCAUGCCGCGUGAGUGAAGAAGGUUUUCGGAUUGUAAAGCUCUUUCGGACGUGAAGAUGAUGACGGUAGCGUCUAAAGAAGCCCCGGCUAACUUCGUGCC
Molecule: ribosomal RNA, 476 nt
Filed under: uncultured bacterium
Lineage: Bacteria
Description: bacterial SSU rRNA
Rfam family: Bacterial small subunit ribosomal RNA
Source: RNAcentral